RNAcentral lists this ribosomal RNA (564 nucleotides) under Dujonia railenensis. RNAcentral's name for it is "eukaryotic LSU rRNA". It matches the Rfam family "Eukaryotic large subunit ribosomal RNA", at positions 76 to 657 of the family's 3401-position model. Lineage: Eukaryota; Fungi; Ascomycota; Pichiomycetes; Serinales; Debaryomycetaceae. The record is from RNAcentral.
UGCUUAGUACGGCGAGUGAGCGGCAAAAGCUCAAAUUUGAAAUCUAGCACUUUCAGUGUUCGAGUUGUAAUUUGAAGAAGGUAACUUUGGAAUUGGCUCUUGUCUAUGUUCCUUGGAACAGGACGUCACAGAGGGUGAGAAUCCCGUGCGAUGAGAUGUCCAAUUCUAUGUAAAGUGCUUUCGAAGAGUCGAGUUGUUUGGGAAUGCAGCUCUAAGUGGGUGGUAAAUUCCAUCUAAAGCUAAAUAUUGGCGAGAGACCGAUAGCGAACAAGUACAGUGAUGGAAAGAUGAAAAGAACUUUGAAAAGAGAGUGAAAAAGUACGUGAAAUUGUUGAAAGGGAAGGGCUUGAGAUCAGACUUGGUAUUUUGUGUUCCUUAUCCUUCUUGGAUUAGGUUCCUCACAGCUUACCGGGCCAGCAUCGGUUUGGAUGGCAGGAUAAUGACAUUGGAAUGUAGCUUUGCUUCGGUGAAGUGUUAUAGACUUUGUUGAUACUGCCUAUCUAGACCGAGGACUGCGUCUUUGACUAGGAUGCUGGCGUAAUGAUCUUAAGCCGCCCGUCUUGA